CGGUGAAUACGUUCCCGGGCCUUGUACACACCGCCCGUCACGCCACGAAAGUUUGCUGGACCAGAAGUCGCCAAAAGCGCCUAAGGUAACGCAGAUGAUUGGGGUG
RNAcentral lists this ribosomal RNA (106 nucleotides) under uncultured bacterium. RNAcentral describes it as "partial 16S ribosomal RNA". It matches the Rfam family "Bacterial small subunit ribosomal RNA", at positions 1360 to 1482 of the family's 1533-position model. The record is from RNAcentral.